Molecule: long non-coding RNA, 409 nt
Organism: Nyctereutes procyonoides (raccoon dog)
Lineage: Eukaryota; Metazoa; Chordata; Mammalia; Carnivora; Canidae
Exons: 4
Source: RefSeq, a predicted model, not a curated record
GGCGCCCCCGGCGGUCGCGGGAGCGCGUGCCGUUGGGCACCUUGGGUGCGCCGGGAGCCGCGGGUCGGCGGCGGCGUGGGCGUCUCUCGGCUCGCGGGGUGAGCUGAGGACAAGUGACUGAAUUUUGGAAAAUGAGAAAUCACUCCCACUCCCCACUAGAAAAAAAUUAAACCAAUGCUGUGGACUCCUUCAGUGCUUUACUUCUGAGAGAAACCUUCAAAUUCUUGCUCGUGCCUUGGAAGAAAAAAGAAGCAUUUUUAGAUAACAAAAUGUCCUCCAACUGGAUUUGCAGCAGCAAUGAUGGAAGUUCUGGCAGGGAGGCUACAAACCAUGCCAGCCUUAGCAAGACUAAUACUUUGCUGUUCCAUAGCUUCUAACAAGGCUUGAUGUUGAUUCCCCAUCUUAUCAA